This 449-nucleotide ribosomal RNA is filed under the name uncultured bacterium. RNAcentral's name for it is "partial 16S ribosomal RNA". It matches the Rfam family "Bacterial small subunit ribosomal RNA", at positions 29 to 523 of the family's 1533-position model. The record is from RNAcentral.
AACGAACGCUGGCGGCAGGCUUAACACAUGCAAGUCGAACGAUCUCUUCGGAGGUAGUGGCAGACGGGUGAGUAACACGUGGGAACGUACCUUUCAGUCAGGAAUAACUCAUGGAAACGUGAGCUAAUACCCGAUACGCCCUUUUGGGGAAAGAUUUAUCGCUGAAAGAUCGACCCGCGUCUGAUUAGCUUGUUGGUGGGGUAAUGGCCUACCAAGGCGACGAUCAGUAGCUGGUCUGAGAGGAUGAUCAGCCACACUGGGACUGAGACACGGCCCAGACUCCUACGGGAGGCAGCAGUGGGGAAUAUUGGACAAUGGGCGCAAGCCUGAUCCAGCCAUGCCGCGUGAGUGAUGACGGCCUUAGGGUUGUAAAGCUCUUUCGACGGGGACGAUAAUGACGGUACCCGUAGAAGAAGCCCCGGCUAACUUCGUGCCAGCAGCCGCCGUAA